RNAcentral lists this long non-coding RNA (686 nucleotides) under Brassica napus (rape). Its description in RNAcentral is "long non-coding RNA (BNAP_LNC019217)". Lineage: Eukaryota; Viridiplantae; Streptophyta; Magnoliopsida; Brassicales; Brassicaceae. The record is from RNAcentral.
AAAUGAAAUAUAAUCUGGCUAUAGUUUGACUAGGGGUGGGCAAAAAAACCAAACCGAACUGAUCCAAACCAAACCAACCGAAGUUAAACCGAUCCAAACCAAACUGUGCUCUUUACAUAACCCAAUUGGUUCAUGUUUUACUCAACCUGCAUGGUUUGGUUUGGUUUGGGUUCAAACCGAACCAAACUGAACCAAACCAAUAAUCCAAUAUAUAUAUAUAGUAACAUAUUAUAAAUUUUAGUUAAAAGUUUCGUUUUCCAUAUUUUCUUAACUUCCUUAUAUUUUUAAAAUAAUCCAAAUAUGAUUCAAAUAAUCCUAAUAUUGUACUGAAAACAAAACCUAAAAACUAUAAGCAUCUAAAUCAUAGCCAUCUCGUUUCGUUCAUCUUCUCCAAUUUUCAUUCGCUAAAUUAUGUAAUAAAGUUAUUAUAGGAUCAAUAAAAACAAAAAAGUAGAUGCAAAUAGUCUUUUAGUUAAUAUGUUUUGGAGUGCUUACAAGUCUUUGUUACGCUAAUUAGAUUACAAAUAGUCUGCUCUUUGCUUAUUAUAUAUUUCUUCCUUUGACGUGGUUAAGAGUUUUGUCAUCGAGCUUUAAAUUGUUUUUUGUUUCAUAGAUUUUUAAAGAACCAAACUAAAUCUAAACCAAACCGAACCAAACUAAACCCAAACCGAACCCAAACCAAAGCU